CGCGGAGUAGAGCAGUGGUAGCUCGUCGGGCUCAUAACCCGGAGGCCGCAGGUUCGAGUCCUGUCUCCGCAA
Molecule: transfer RNA, 72 nt
Filed under: Bacteroidales bacterium
Lineage: Bacteria; Pseudomonadati; Bacteroidota; Bacteroidia; Bacteroidales
Description: tRNA-Met
Rfam family: tRNA
About the family: Transfer RNA (tRNA) molecules are approximately 80 nucleotides in length.
Source: RNAcentral